GUUCCCCCUGUGGCAUGCUGAGGGUGUGCCUGAUCUCUGAAACCACAGAAUUUCUGUUAGAGGCUUUCAAAAAGCAAAAGCUUAGCGUAGUUCAAUUUUUAUGGGGGUUUUAGUAAGAGGCAAGUCUCUUAGUACCUUGUUUGGUGGGACCAACAAAGGAGCCACGUGUCUCCAGCCGCUUGCUGAGCCAUGCGGGGCCCUCCUGCACCUACGUACGUGUGUAUAUGCUAUAUGCAUACACACGCCCAGAUACAUGCAGUAGGUGGAGGUGCCCAGGGCAUUGGGAUGAGAGGGGUUAACAGGGAAGGACUGAAUCUCUGGGCCAUGAUUUCUUCAGAUUCCCUCAGAGACCCAGGUGUCCAGGGUGCCCCCCUCCCAAUACUGGGCCUGGGGCCAGUUGCAAUUCUUGGUUGUCACGUGGUUUCCCGGCUUAGCUGGGCCAGGGGAGGAGCAAGGUCCAGAGUCAACUCUGCUCCAAGCCCUAAGUUUACCAGAAACGAGCAGGCGGACAGACGGGUCUGAUCCCUCUUGGGUCCUCCAGCCAUGAGGCUCCUCUGGGGGCUGAUCUGGGCAUCUGGCUUCUUCGCCUUGUCUCUGCAGAAGCCCAGGUUGCUCCUGUUUUCUCCUUCUGUGGUUCACCUAGGGGUCCCCCUGUCAGUCGGUGUGCAGCUCCAGGAUGCUCCUUCAGGACAGGUAGUGAGUGGAUCAGUGUUCCUGAGAAACCCAUCCACAACACGUCAUGAGCUCUGCUCCCCAAAGGUGGAUUUCAGCCUCAGCUCAGACAAAGACUUCAUCCUCCUCAGCCUCCCGACCUCCCUGAAAGGCGCGGAGGACUGUCGCCUCCAUCUCCUCCACAGAGCCCCCGAGGUCCAGCUGGUGGCCCAGUCACCAUGGCUAACAAACAGACAGACAGACAGGCAGGGUGUCAACCUGUUUUUCUCCUCUCGCCGGGGACACCUCUUUCUGCAGACUGACCAGCCCGUUUAUAACCCUGGCCAGCGGGUUCGAUACCGAAUCUUUGCUCUGGAUCAGAAGAUGCGCCCGUCCACUGAUACCCUCACGGUCACGGUGGAGAACUCUCGUGGCUUGCGUGUGCGGAAGAAGGAGGUGUAUGUUCCCUCCUCCAUCUUCCAGGAUGACUUUGUGAUCCCAGACAUCUCAGAGCCAGGGACUUGGAAGAUCUCAGCCCGAUUCUCAGAUAGCCUGGAUUCCAACAGCAGCACCCAGUUUGAGGUGAAGAAAUAUGUCCUUCCCAACUUUGAGGUGAAGAUCAUUCCGGAAAAGCCCUACAUCCUGGCAACGCCUGGCUUUCUUAGUGAAAUCCAAGUAGUCAUCCAGGCCAGGUACAUCUAUGGGAAGCCAGUGCAGGGGGUGGCAUAUGUGCGCUUUGGGCUCCUGGGUGAGGACGGUAAAAAGACUUUCCUUCGGGGGCUGGAGAAUCAGACCAAGCUGGUAGAUGGCCAGUGCCGAAUUUCCCUCCCAAAGGCUGAGUUUCAGGGUGUGCUGGAGAAACUUAAUAUUAAUAUUAACGACCUCCCAGGGCUGCACCUCUAUGUUGCAGCAGCGAUCAUUGAGUCUCCAGGAGGGGAGUUGGAGGAGGCAGAGCUCACAUCCUGGCGUUUCGUGUCAUCUCCCUUCUCCUUGGAUCUAAGCAAAACCAAGCGACACCUUGUGCCUGGGGCCCCCUUCCUGCUGCAGGCCCUGGUCCGUGACAUGUCAGGCUCACCAGCCUCUGGCAUUCCUGUCAAAGUUUCUGCCAAGUUGUCUUCUGGAUCUACUUCUAAAAACCAGGACUUUCAACAGAACACAGACGAGAGCGGCCAAGUCGUUGUUCCCAUUAUUGUCCCUCAGACCACCUCAGAAGUGCAGCUCUCGGUGUCUGCAGGCUCCCCCUAUUCUGCCAUAAGCAAGCUCACCGUGAAAGCCCCCCUGUCCAGAAGAUCCGGGUUUCUGUCCAUUGAGAGGCUGGAUUCUCGACCCCCUAAAGUCAGGGACACUCUUAACCUAAACCUGCGAGCCGUGGGCAUCAGUGGGAGCUUCUCUCACUUCUACUACAUGAUCGUAUCCCGGGGCCAGAUCGUGUCUGUACAUCGAGAGCCCAGGAGGGACCUGACCUCUGUCUCCGUGUUUGUGGACCAUCACCUGGCACCCUCCUUCCACGUUGUGGCCUUCUACUAUCAUGGGGGCGUCCCGGUGGCCAACUCCCUGCGAGUGGACGUCCAGGCUGGGGGCUGUGAGGGCAAGCUGGAGCUGAACGUGGAUGGUAGCAAGGAGUAUCGUCCUGGGGACACUGUAAAACUCAACCUGCGAACAGAUUCUCCAGCCCUGGUGGCCCUGGGAGCCGUGGACAUGGCUCUGUAUGCUGUGGGCGGCAAGUCCCACAAACCCCUCGACAUGGUCAAGGUCUUCGAAGCUAUGAACAGCUAUGACCUUGGCUGUGGUCCUGGGGGUGGGGACAGUGCCCUUCAGACAUUCGAGGCAGCUGGUCUGGCCUUUUCUGAUGGAGACCAACUGACCCCAGUCAGAAAGAGUCUAAGAUGUCCCAAGGAGACAAAGGUCCGGAAAAAGAGAAAUGUGAACUUCCAAAAGGAGAUUCAUGAGAAGCUGGGCCAGUACGCUUCCCCCGUAGCCAAGCGCUGCUGCCAGGACGGGCUGACGCGACUGCCCAUGGCACGCACCUGUGAGCAGCGGGUGGCCCGUGUGCAGCAGCCGGCCUGCCGGGGGCCCUUCCUGUCCUGCUGCCAGUUUGCUGAGGGUCUGCGCAAGAAGGCCCGGGCGAGGGGCCAGGUGGGCCUUGCUCGAGCCAAGGAGCUCCUGCAGGAGGAGGACCUGAUCGAUGAGGAUGACAUCCCUGUGCGCAGCUUCUUCCCUGAGAACUGGCUUUGGAAAGUGGAAGCAGUGGACCACUCCUCCCAAUUGAGACAGCUGCUCCCGGACUCUCUGACCACGUGGGAAAUCCAUGGCGUGAGCCUGUCCAAAAGCACAGGCAUGUGUGUGGCCACCCCGGCCCAGCUCCGAGUGUUCCGUGAAUUCCACAUGCACCUCCGCCUGCCCGUCUCCGUCCGCCGCUUUGAGCAGCUCGAGCUGCGGCCUGUCCUCUACAACUACCUGGAUACAGAUAUGACCGUGAGCGUCCACGUGUCCCCAGUGGAGGGGCUGUGCCUGGCUGGGGGCGGAGGGCUUGCCCAGCAGGUGCUGGUCCCUGCGGGCUCUGCCCGGCCCAUUGGCUUCUCUGUGGUGCCCAUAGCGGCCGCUGCUGUGUCCCUGAAAGUGGUGGCUCGAGGAUCCUUGGAUUUCCCUGUGGGGGACGCAGUAUCUAAGGUCCUACAAAUUGAGAAUGAAGGGGCCAUUCAGAGGGAGGAGAUUGUCUAUGAACUCAACCCCCUGGACCCCCGAGGCCGGACCUUGGAAAUUCCUGGCAUCUCUGAUCCCAAUAUUAUCCCUGAUGGAGAUUUCAGGAGCUCUGUUAGAGUCACAGCCUCGGAUCCAUUGGACACUUUGGGCUCUGAGGGGGCCUUGUCACCGGGAGGCAUGGCUGCCCUCCUGAGGCUUCCCCAGGGCUGCGGGGAACAAACCAUGGUCCUCUUGGCUCCAACACUGGCUGCUUCCCGCUACCUGGACAAGACAGAGCAGUGGAGCAUGCUGCCCCCCGAGAUGAAGGACCACGCUGUGGAUCUGAUCCAGAAAGGCUACACGCGGAUCCAGGAGUUUCGAAAACCAGAUGGUUCCUAUGGGGCCUGGUUGAAGCGGGACAGCAGCACCUGGCUCACGGCCUUUGUGCUGAAGAUCCUGAGUUUGGCCCAGGAACAGGUGGGCGGCUCACCUGAAAAGCUGCAGGAGACGGCCAAGUGGCUGCUAUUGCAGCAGCUGGCUGAUGGGUCGUUCCACGACCCCCAUCCAGUUAUUCACAGGGGCAUGCAGGGGGGCUUAGUGGGAAAUGAUGAGACUGUGGCGCUCACAGCUUUUGUGGUCAUCGCCCUUCAUCAUGGGCUGGCUGUCUUCCCGGACAAGAAUUCAGAGCAGUUGAAGAGAGUGGAAGACUCCAUCUCAAGGGCAAACACCUUCUUGGGGGCAAAAGUAGGUUCUGGGCUCCUGGGGUCCCACGCAGCCGCCAUCACGGCCUACGCCCUGUCGCUGACUGAGGCCCCUGAGGACCUGCGAGAUGUUGCCCACAACAACCUCAUGGCCAUGGCCCAGGAGACUGGCGAUAACCUGUACUGGGGCUCAGUCCCCAGUUCUCAGAGCAAUGUCCUGUCACCCACCGUGGCUCCUCACAGCCCGGCAGACCCCGUGCCCCAGGCCCCGGCCCUGUGGAUUGAAACCACAGCCUACGGCCUUCUACACCUGCUGCUUUGGGAGGGCAAGGGCGAGUUGGCCGACCAGGCUGCAUCCUGGCUCACCCGCCAGGGCAGCUUCCAAGGCGGAUUCCGCAGCACCCAGGACACAGUGAUGGCCCUGGAUGCCCUGUCUGCGUACUGGAUCGCGUCCCACACCACCGAGGAGAAGGGGCUCAACGUGACCCUCAGCUCCGUGGGCCGCAGUGGACUCACGUCCCACGUGCUGCAGCUGACCAACCACGAAGUUCAGGGGCUGGAGGAGGAGCUGCAGUUUUCCUUGGGCAGCAAGAUUAAUGUGAAGGUGGGAGGAAACAGCAAAGGAACCUUGAAGGUCCUUCAUACCUACAACGUCAUGGACGUGAAGAACAUGACCUGCCAGGAUCUUCAGAUUGAAGUGACGGUCGUGGGCCACGUCCAGUACACAAUGGAAGCCAACGAGGACUACGAGGACUAUGAGUACGAGGACCUUCCGGCCAGGGAUGACCCGGGGGCCCACUCCCAGCUCGUGACGCCCCUGCAGCUGUUUGAUGGCCGGAGGAGCCGCCGCAGAAGGGAGGCCCCCAAGGUGGCUGAAGAGCAGGAGUCCAGGGUGCAGUACACCGUGUGCAUCUGGGCAUGUGUCUCCACAGGCGGAAUGGCAAGGUGGGGCUGUCGGGCAUGGCCAUUGCAGACAUCACCCUCCUGAGUGGAUUCCACGCCCUGCGGGCGGACCUGGAGAAGUUGACCUCCCUCUCUGACCGUUACAUGAGUCACUUUGAGACCGAGGGGCCCCACGUCCUGCUGUACUUCGACUCGCCUUAUCUGGCUAACACAAAGUUAUCAACCCUCUGACGGCCCUCAAAAGUUGUUUUUGAACAUUUCCUGUAACAUCUUGGAGAAAAUGUGCAAAAGGCGUGUUAAUGCUGUGAUACCAUUAGCCAAGUGUUUGUGGUCAGGGGAGACCCUCCUGCCCUGUGUGUGCAGAGGGGACAGACCCUAUUAGCUUGAGAAGCCAGGCAGAGGAGUCUGGUUGGACACAAUGGAAAAUGAGGAGCCAGGAGGAUUGCAAGUCGGGUUGCUGACCACGCAGCUUAGGAGGGAAACCUGCGGGAUACCAGGCUGGACUGGACCAGCGUGGGCACGAAGAGAGGGCUCUGGGCCUGGACAUGAAUGGCUGGGCCGCGUGGGAGCACCUGCUGUCGGGUUAUGGCAGAUGAGGCAGGCCUCCGCUGUGUCAGUGAAGGGAGGCUGUCCAGAGGCCGAGUGGGUUUGGAGGGCAGGCAGAGGGAGUUUGGAGAAUGUAACACAUCCUGCAACAAUCCCAGCGCAAGAGCAAGGCUGAAAGCUUGGUUCAGGAAUCGCCAGUCUGAAGGGUUUGGGGAGAGCCAGGGAGUGGUGAGACCUCCACAGGGGAGCGCAGGGGAGGGGAAGGGCCAGGGCUGGGCACUGUGCUUCUGGGGGGGAGGGAGAGGGAUGUCAGAAGUGACCAGGUCAGAAUCCGGGCUGGUCCGGAAGCUAGCCCCGAGCUUAGGGAGCGUUUCAUGGAGAAUGUGUCCAUGAUUUGAGACUCUGCAGAGGGGCCCAGGGCUCUGGAGACUGGGAUGAGGUCACCACGUGGGCAGUGAAGUCACCAGAGACCUUGGGGAGCAGUUUUUAGAAAUCCGGAGGCUGGAAGGUAACAAACUGUGAAGGACACUGACGAUAAGAUCAACCGGAACUGAACAGGCCAAGGAAAUACAUCAGAGCAGCCUGCAGGGCCCAGAGGUGGGUGCCUGACCUCUCCGCCCUCCCCCUGCCCACGCCAGGUCCCCAUG
RNA transcript from Orcinus orca (killer whale), 6130 nucleotides. Lineage: Eukaryota; Metazoa; Chordata; Mammalia; Artiodactyla; Delphinidae. The record is from RefSeq and is a predicted model, not a curated record.